AAUAGGGCGACUUUAGUAUAUUGGCAUAUACCCGAAACCAGGUGAUCUAUCCAUGAGCAGGUUGAAGCUUAGGUAAAACUAAGUGGAGGACCGAACCGUAGUACGCUAAAAAGUGCCCGGAUGACUUGUGGAUAGCGGUGAAAUUCCAAUCGAACCUGGAGAUAGCUGGUUCUCUUCGAAAUAGCUUUAGGGCUAGCGUAUAGUAUUGUUUAAUGGGGGUAGAGCACUGAAUGUGGAAUGGCGGCAUCUAGCUGUACUGACUAUAAUCAAACUCCGAAUACCAUUAAAAUUAAGCUAUGCAGUCGGAACGUGGGUGAUAACGUCCACGCUCGCGAGGGAAACAACCCAGAUCGUCAGCUAAGGUCCCAAAAUUGUGUUAAGUGAGAAAGGUUGUGAGAUUUCAUAAACAACUAGGAAGUUGGCUUAGAAGCAGCCACCUUUUAAAGAGUGCGUAAUUGCUCACUAGUCAAGAGAUCUUGCGCCAAUAAUGUAA
Molecule: ribosomal RNA, 493 nt
Filed under: Salmonella enterica
Lineage: Bacteria; Pseudomonadati; Pseudomonadota; Gammaproteobacteria; Enterobacterales; Enterobacteriaceae
Description: partial 23S ribosomal RNA
Rfam family: Bacterial large subunit ribosomal RNA
Source: RNAcentral